UCAGCAGGAGCAUGGCUCAGCCAACACUUUGAUCUUGGCCUUCCAGCCUCCAGACCGUGAGUCAGUGAGUUUCUGUGGUUUAGGCCCCCCAGUUGUGGUUCUUUCUUACGGCAGCCCCAAGAAACCAAUAUACUACCCCGUCCACUUUCCACGGCAGAGGUUGGGCAUCACUGAAUCCCACCUCCGCAGUAGAUUUUGCUUGGACUGCACAGUAUUUAUUGGUGCUGCUGUUGGUUUUAAUUUAGAAUGUGUGUGCCUGUAGCUGAGCCACUCCUCCUGAUGACUCACCUGGGUCCUGCAGCAUCUGAGAUGCGGUUCCUGCUCCACACUUCCUGGGGGAGCAGAGGAACUCCUCAGCCUCCUCUCAAACUUCUCUCAGGUUGUGCUGCUCACUUCCUCCCCAGGGCUUCCGGUCCACAUGGGCAGCUCUGACCCAGAGAAGAUUCUUUGUCUUAGACAGACAUCUGCCUCCCUGUAACUUCGGUUCACCAGUACUUGCUCUGCACUCCGGGGCCAUACACAACCCCUCUGCUCCCUCUGCUCUUAGCCAUUGGCUCCUAGGAGACACUUGCUUGUCCGGCCAUCGCUUUAAACUGUCUAGUUCCAGCUCCCUCAGAACUUCCUCAGUGACGCCGUUUCCUGAUGGUCAUAUUGCCUGGAUAAGCUCCAGUCUGUUCAACUCCCUCUGUGGUUCAGGAACCAGGACUAAACAGGAGUCACCAGAUGCACAUUCGAACCAGCAUCAAGAGGGCUGAAGCAUCGCCUCCUGCGUUCCAAACUCAACCGGGUCUCGCUUGUUGCCCAGGCUGUAGUGCAGUGGUGCAAUCACGGCUCACUGCAGCCUUGACCUCCUGGAUCAAGGUAUCCUCCCACCUCUCAGCCUCCCAAGCACCUGGGACUACAGGUGCACGCCACCAUGCCCAGCUAAGUUUUGUAUUUAUAGAGACAUGGGUCUCACCGUGUUACCCAGGCUGGUCUUGAACUCCUGGGCUCAAGACAUCUGCCUGCCCUGGCCUUCCAAAGCGUUGGAAUUACAGGCGUGAGCCACUGUGCCAGGCCAGAGCCAACAGGACUUACUGAGAAACUAUGAGAGAGAGAGGGGUCACGGAUGACUCCCCCUGUUCAACCAAGCAACGAGGUGAAUGGUGCUGCUGCUUCCUGAGAUGGGGAAGACUAUAGAGGAAACAAAGCAGGAAUGACAAAUCAGGAAUUUAGCUUUGAAUACACUAGGUUUGAGAAGUCUAGUCUAUACCCAAACAGACCACACUGUGGCAUCUGUGUAGCAGGAUCUGCAGAAUCCAGCAGGAUGGGUGCCAGUGCCAAGCUGAGUAGACAGUUGGGUCUGUGAGUCUAAAGCUCAGGGUAGACCUCAGGGUCUGGGAUACAAAUCUGGAGAUCAUCAGCCUGUCCAUGAAAGCCAGGGGAAUGAUGGAACAUACUAUGAGAAAAAGAGAAGAGAGGAAAGAGAAGAGGUCCAUGGAAGGAGACCUGGGAGAAUCCAACCUUCGAUUAGAUCAGGAAGAGGAGAAUCCAGCAAAAAAUGCUGAGAAGUCUCUGGAAAGGAAGUCUUCCUUCCUUCCCCUGCACCGGGAGAAGUGCUAUCCCAGAAAUCAGUAAAGAAAAGUGUUUGAUGGGGAGAGCAGGAUCACCUUUGUCAACUGCUGCUGCGAGACUUGGGAAAAUGAGGACUGGAAAGAGAGCAAUAGAAACUUGAAAAGCCAUUGGUUAUCUUGACAAGAGUUUCUGUGGGGGUGGUGAGAAUUGGAGCCUGAUUGGAUGGGUUCAAGAGAGAAUGGGGAGUUCUAGCCAAGAAGGCUGAGAGGAUGAGUCAAAUUAAAAACGUUUUCUUUUUAUGAGUCCUCUCAUAUUUACUGAUAUAUUGGGUUUCCAUUCUGCCACAUUACUUUAUAUUAAUCAUGUAUUAUAUCUGCUGUGUUUCUUUCUCUGUGCAAUGUAUUUUUUUACUUUAAAAAUUGUAUUUAUAAAGGUUUGUAA
RNAcentral lists this long non-coding RNA (1995 nucleotides) under Macaca mulatta (Rhesus monkey). RNAcentral's name for it is "lncRNA (ENSMMUG00000057887.1)". The record is from RNAcentral. Lineage: Eukaryota; Metazoa; Chordata; Mammalia; Primates; Cercopithecidae.